CUCCUCCUCCUCCUCCUCCCCUUGCUGUCUUUCUAUUGUUGGCAUCCAUUGUUCAAAACAGGUAAUCUGACCUGUCCCCUAUGUAUAGGGAUAUACUAAAGCAGUGAUUGGUUAGUGUUCAGUGAUGACAUAAUUUGUGUUUGCACAUGUGAGCAGUGUGUGUGCACCCUGGUAACUGAAGUGUAGCAUUUUGAUUGGUUGUGUUUGGAAAAGGAAAGCAAUUCACUUCCUUAUCGAUUUUUGUGUCUUAGAUAUAGAAUUGU
This is a long non-coding RNA of Etheostoma spectabile (orangethroat darter), 263 nucleotides long. RefSeq lists it as uncharacterized. The record is from RefSeq and is a predicted model, not a curated record. The transcript has 3 exons. Lineage: Eukaryota; Metazoa; Chordata; Actinopteri; Perciformes; Percidae.